GUGAACGCGGGCGCUCUUGUUUGGGAGCGCGGCCGGCGCGCCCGUUUUGAAGCUGUCCUGAGCAGCGCGGGCCGGACCGCGCCCCCUGCUUGGUCCCCGCGCCCCGCGAGUCCGCGCAGUUCCCAAGGCGCGGGCCCUGCUCCCUGCGCCUCGCCCCCUCAGCGGGCCGUGCUCGCAUCACCGAGGUCGGUCCGCGCCGGACCGAAGCCCCCGGGGCGGGGCGGGGCGGGGCGCGGGCGUCCGUAGGCGCCCCGGGCUCAGCCCCCGCCAUGCCUCCCGGCAAGGUACUGCAGCCGGUCCUGAAGAUGAAGGUGGAUGAGCUGUUCCUGUACUGGCUCAGCGAGGCCAGCACGCAGCGGAUGCUGCAGGACUGCCUGCGCCGGAUCAAGGCGCCCGGGCGGGACCAGCCGACCGCGGGGGACGGGGAGCUGCCCGGGGCCUGGCCAGCAGCCACGCUCGCCGCCCCCAGGCCCAGCGGGCUCGAACCCCCGGGAACCCCCGGUCCGGGCCCUGCGCUGCCCCUGGGCGCCGCCUCCAGCCCCAGGAACGCGCCCCACGCUCGAGGCACCCGUAGAUCCGCAGGGACGAGAGUAGCGGUGUUUUAACAUCACGGGAUGAGAUCAAAUGUCCACCUCGCAGGUUGUGUAGAGAUGCAAGCAGGAGACCCUUGAGUUCAGACGCGGAAAGAAGAGCCUCUGUCCCCAGCCACGAGCCAAAGCAUUCCGACCUUCUACUUCCCCAGAGGACGCCCGCAGGACUCCGUCAAUGUGGAUGCCGUCAUCAGCAAGAUCGAGAGCACCUUCGCCCAGUUCCCCCACGAGAGGGCCACCAUGGACGACAUGGGCCUGGUGGCCAAGGCCUGCGGCUGCCCCCUCUACUGGAAGGGGCCGCUCUUCUAUGGCGCCGGCGGGGAGCGCACGGGCUCCGUGUCCGUCCACAAGUUCGUCGCCAUGUGGAGAAAAAUCCUCCAGAACUGCCACGACGACGCGGCCAAGUUCCUCCAUCUGCUCAUGAGCCCCGGCUGCAACUACCUGGUGCAGGAGGACUUUGUCCCCUUCUUGCAGGACGUGGUGAACACGCACCCGGGGCUGUCGUUCCUGAAGGAGGCGUCCGAGUUCCACUCGCGCUACAUCACCACGGUCAUCCAGCGGAUCUUCUACGCCGUGAACCGGUCCUGGUCCGGCAGGAUCACCUGCGCCGAGCUGCGGAGGAGCUCCUUCCUGCAGAACGUGGCGCUGCUGGAGGAGGAGGCCGACAUCAACCAGCUGACCGAAUUCUUCUCCUACGAGCACUUCUACGUCAUCUACUGCAAGUUCUGGGAGCUGGACACGGACCACGACCUGCUCAUCGACGCGGACGACCUGGCGCGGCACAAUGACCACGGUGCGCAGGGCAGAGGGGCGGGCGGGGCGCGGGGACACCGAGCGCACCCUUCUCUCAGGGCCUCUUGGGUCUGCAGCUGCCUCUCCUUCCCCGGUCGCUGCCCCGUGUCUGGGUCCCCGAGUGCGCUUCUGCUGAGGCCUCUGCCUGCGGGCGUCCACAGGGUCAGUGUGGGCCGCUGGUCCUGAAGCUCCCACAGCUGCACCCGGCCCCAGGGCCAGCAGCGCUGUGGGGCUUCGCUGUUAACACCCGAGCAAGGGCGUGCAGACCAGACGCCUUCCCUCAGGGGCUCCAGGUUCCAGCCCCCAAGGCCUGGAGCAGUUUCCAUCCAAUCCCGGGCUAGGUGGAGCCCCAGGCUUACAGGUCGUUCCAAUACCUGCCCGGGAGCUGGUGCCGCCCAGGUGUCCUCACAGCAGCCACUGCCUCCCGGCUCCUCUAAGAGUCAUCAACACUUCCGGGAACUCAAACCGGCCUGUGGCCUGUGGGGCUUCAGUUUUCUAAAGGAUCCCUUUAAGUGUGCUUUUCCCCCCAAGAAAACCGUAUGACCAAGAGGAUUUCCG
RNAcentral lists this small RNA (1940 nucleotides) under Pongo abelii (Sumatran orangutan). RNAcentral describes it as "retained intron". The record is from RNAcentral. Lineage: Eukaryota; Metazoa; Chordata; Mammalia; Primates; Hominidae.